This 68-nucleotide transfer RNA is filed under the name Marmota monax (woodchuck). RNAcentral's name for it is "tRNA.Thr". Lineage: Eukaryota; Metazoa; Chordata; Mammalia; Rodentia; Sciuridae. The record is from RNAcentral.
GGAUUUUGGCUCAGGGGUAGAGCACUCGCCUUGUACGCACGAGGCCCUGGGUUCCAUCCUCAGCACCA